RNAcentral lists this ribosomal RNA (406 nucleotides) under uncultured bacterium. RNAcentral describes it as "partial 16S ribosomal RNA". It matches the Rfam family "Bacterial small subunit ribosomal RNA", at positions 30 to 526 of the family's 1533-position model. The record is from RNAcentral.
AUUGAACGCUGGCGGCAGGCCUAACACAUGCAAGUCGAGCGACCGGCGGACGGGUGAGUAAUGUCUGGGAACCUGCCUGAUGGAGGGGGCUAACUACUGGAAACGGUAGCUAAUCACGCAUACCAUCAGAUGUGCGCAGAUGGGAUUAGCUAGUGGGUGGGGUAAUGGCCCACCUAGGCGACGAUCCCUAGCUGGUCUGAGAGGAUGACCAGCCACACUGGAACUGAGACACGGUCCAGACUCCUACGGGAGGCAGCAGUGGGGAAUAUUGCACAAUGGGCGCAAGCCUGAUGCAGCCAUGCCGCGUGUGUGAAGAAGGCCUUCGGGUUGUAAAGCACUUUCAGCGGGGAGGCGUUACCCGCAGAAUAAGCACCGGCUAACUCCGUGCCAGCAGCCGCGGUAAUUC